GGUGAGAUGGCCGAGCGGUCUAAGGCGCCAGAUUAAGGUAUUCCAAGCCUGGAGCUUGAUACCUUCUGGUCAGAAAUGGCGUGGGUUCGAAUCCCACUCUCAUCA
Molecule: transfer RNA, 105 nt
Organism: Tulasnella calospora
Lineage: Eukaryota; Fungi; Basidiomycota; Agaricomycetes; Cantharellales; Tulasnellaceae
Rfam family: tRNA
About the family: Transfer RNA (tRNA) molecules are approximately 80 nucleotides in length.
Source: Rfam